UGGGGAAUAUUGCACAAUGGGCGCAAGCCUGAUGCAGCCAUGCCGCGUGUGUGAAGAAGGCCUUCGGGUUGUAAAGCACUUUCAGUCGUGAGGAAGGUAGUGUAGUUAAUAGCUGCAUUAUUUGACGUUAGCGACAGAAGAAGCACCGGCUAACUCCGUGCCAGCAGCCGCGGUAAUACGGAGGGUGCGAGCGUUAAUCGGAAUUACUGGGCGUAAAGCGCAUGCAGGUGGUUUGUUAAGUCAGAUGUGAAAGCCCGGGGCUCAACCUCGGAAUAGCAUUUGAAACUGGCAGACUAGAGUACUGUAGAGGGGGGUAGAAGUUUCAGGUGUAGCGGUGAAAUGCGUAGAGAUCUGAAGGAAUACCGGUGGCGAAGGCGGGCCCCCUGGACAGAUACUGACACUCAGAUGCGAAAAGCGUGGGGAGCAAAACAGGAUUAGAUACCCUGGUAGUCCACGCCGU
This 460-nucleotide ribosomal RNA is filed under the name uncultured bacterium. Its description in RNAcentral is "bacterial SSU rRNA". It matches the Rfam family "Bacterial small subunit ribosomal RNA", at positions 355 to 803 of the family's 1533-position model. The record is from RNAcentral.